Molecule: ribosomal RNA, 463 nt
Filed under: uncultured bacterium
Lineage: Bacteria
Description: bacterial SSU rRNA
Rfam family: Bacterial small subunit ribosomal RNA
Source: RNAcentral
GACGAACGCUGGCGGCGUGCCUAACACAUGCAAGUCGAACGUGAAGCCGGUGCUUGCACCGGUGGAAAGUGGCGAACGGGUGAGUAACACGUGAGAAACCUGCCCCGGAGACCGGGACAACCAUUGGAAACGAUGGCUAAUACCGGAUGCCCUCAGCUGGCCGCAUGGCCUACUGAGGAAAUGCUCUGGCGCUCUGGGAAGGUCUCGCGGCCUAUCAGCUAGUUGGUGGGGUAACGGCCUACCAAGGCAUCGACGGGUAGCUGGUCUGAGAGGACGAUCAGCCACACUGGGACUGAGACACGGCCCAGACUUCUACGGAAGGCAGCAGUGGGGAAUAUUGCGCAAUGGGCGAAAGCCUGACGCAGCAACGCCGCGUGAGGGAUGACAGCUUUCGGGUUGUAAACCUCUUUCAGUGAUGACGAAAAUGACGGUAAUCACAGAAGAAGGUCCGGCCAACUACGUG